Molecule: ribosomal RNA, 386 nt
Filed under: uncultured bacterium
Lineage: Bacteria
Description: bacterial SSU rRNA
Rfam family: Bacterial small subunit ribosomal RNA
Source: RNAcentral
GACGAACGCUGGCGGCGUGCUUAACACAUGCAAGUCGAGCGGUAAGGCCCUUUCGGGGGUACACGAGCGGCGAACGGGUGAGUAACACGUGGGUGACCUGCCCUUAGCUCUGGGAUAAGCCUGGGAAACUGGGUCUAAUACCGGAUAUGACCUCAUGACUCAUGUUGUGGGGUGGAAAGCCUUGUGCGGCUAGGGAUGGGCCCGCGGCCUAUCAGCUUGUUGGUGGGGUAAUUGCCUACCAAGGCGACGACGGGUAGCCGGCCUGAGAGGGCGACCGGCCACACUGGGACUGAGACACGGCCCAGACUCCUACGGGAGGCAGCAGUGGGGAAUCUUGCGCAAUGGCGAAAGCCUGACGCAGCGACGCCGCGUGAGGGAUGACGGCC